AGUGAACGCUGGCGGCGUGCUUAACACAUGCAAGUCGAACGAGAACGGAAUAUAGCUUGCUAUAUUUGUCAGCUAAGUGGCGCACGGGUGAGUAAUGUAUAGAUAACCUGCCCUUAAGAAAGGAAUAACAGUUGGAAACGACUGCUAAUGCCCUAUAUGCCUUUAAUACAUAAGUAUGCAAGGGAAACGCUUUAGUGCUUAAGGAUGGGUCUGUAUGGGAUCAGCUUGUUGGUGAGGUAAUGGCUCACCAAGGCUAUGACGCCUAACUGGUUUGAGAGGAUGAUCAGUCACAAUGGAACUGAGACACGGUCCAGACUCCUACGGGAGACAGCAGUGGGGAAUAUUGCACAAUGGACGAAAGUCUGAUGCAGCAACGCCGCGUGGAGGAUGACAUAUUUCGGUGCGUAAACUCCUUUUAUAUAGGAAGAUAAUGACGGUACUAUAUGAAUAAGCACCGGCUAACUCCGUGCCAGCAGCCGCGGUAA
This 485-nucleotide ribosomal RNA is filed under the name uncultured bacterium. Its description in RNAcentral is "partial 16S ribosomal RNA". It matches the Rfam family "Bacterial small subunit ribosomal RNA", at positions 29 to 523 of the family's 1533-position model. The record is from RNAcentral.